ACUUUCAACAACGGAUCUCUUGGUUCUGGCAUCGAUGAAGAACGUAGCAAAUACUGAUAAGUAUGUGAAUUGCAGAAUUCAGUGAAUCAUCGAAUCUUUGAACGCACAUUGCGCCCGCCAGUACUCUGGCGGGCAUGCCUGUCCGAGCGUCAUUUCAA
Molecule: ribosomal RNA, 158 nt
Filed under: Hirsutella thompsonii
Lineage: Eukaryota; Fungi; Ascomycota; Sordariomycetes; Hypocreales; Ophiocordycipitaceae
Description: 5.8S ribosomal RNA
Rfam family: 5.8S ribosomal RNA
About the family: 5.8S ribosomal RNA (5.8S rRNA) is a component of the large subunit of the eukaryotic ribosome. It is transcribed by RNA polymerase I as part of the 45S precursor that also contains 18S and 28S rRNA.
Source: RNAcentral